UACAUCAGUGGCAGACGGGUGAGUAACACGUAGGUAACCUGCCCUCGAGACGGGGAUAACGGCUGGAAACGGUCGCUAAGACCCGAUAUAGUCUGACCUUCGGGAGAAGGUGAGAGGAAAGGCUUCGGUGCUCGGGGAGGGGCCUGCGGCCCAUCAGCUAGUUGGAGAGGUAACGGCUCCCCAAGGCAAUGACGGGUAGGGGGUGUGAGAGCAUGGCCCCCCACACUGGGACUGAGACACGGNCCAGACUCCUACGGGAGGCAGCAGCAGGGAAUAUUGCGCAAUGGACGGAAGUCUGACGCAGCGACGCCGCGUGGAUGACGAAGGCCUUCGGGUUGUAAAAUCCUUUUCCGGGCGAUGAGGAAGGACACUAGCCUGGGAAUAAGCGUCGGCUAACUACGUGCCAGCAGCCGCGGUAAGACGUAGGACGCGAGCGUUAUCCGGAUUUACUGGGCGUAAAGCGCCUGCAGGCGGUCAGGUAAGUCGGUUGUGAAAGCCCCGUGCUCAACGCGGGGAGGCCAAGCGAUACUGCGUGACUUGAGGGCGGAAGAGGGGAGUGGAAUUCCCGGUGUAGCGGUAAAAUGCGCAGAUAUCGGGAGGAACACCAGUGGCGAAGGCGGCUCCCUGGACCGCACCUGACGCUCAGAGGCGAAAGCUAGGGGAGCGAACAGGAUUAGAGACCCUGGUAGUCCUAGCCCUAAACGCUGGAUGCUAGGUGUAGGGCUGAUGAGGCUCUGUGCCGGAGCGAACGCGAUAAGCAUCCCGCCUGGGAACUACGGCCGCAAGGCUAAAACUCAAACGAAUUGACGGGGACCCGCACAAGCAGCGGAGCGUGUGGUUUAAUUCGAUGCUACACGAAGAACCUGUACCUGGGUUNNNUUNGAACAAAUUGNUUGGGUUGGUACCGAACCGAAAGGGGAGGGACCCUUCGGGGAGCCAACACAGGUGCUGCAUGGUUGUCGUCAGCUCGUGCCGUGAGGUGUCGGGUUAAGUCCCGUAACGAGCGCAACCCUUGCUCUUAGUUAUACGUGUCUAAGGGGACUGCCGGCGACAAGCCGGAGGAAGGUGGGGAUGACGUCAAGUCAGCAUGGCCU
RNAcentral lists this ribosomal RNA (1094 nucleotides) under uncultured organism. RNAcentral describes it as "bacterial SSU rRNA". It matches the Rfam family "Bacterial small subunit ribosomal RNA", at positions 88 to 1201 of the family's 1533-position model. The record is from RNAcentral.